RNAcentral lists this ribosomal RNA (121 nucleotides) under Physeter macrocephalus (sperm whale). The record is from RNAcentral. Lineage: Eukaryota; Metazoa; Chordata; Mammalia; Artiodactyla; Physeteridae.
GUCUACGGCCAUACCACCCUGAACGCGCCCGAUCUCGUCUGAUCUCGGAAGCUAAGCAGGGUCGGGUUAGUACCUGUUUAGUACUUGGGAGACCGCCUGGGAAUACCGGGUGCUGUAGGCU